UUUUAAAUUUGUUUAUGCUGUAGAAACUAAAUGUAAAAUAACGAUGCUAACUCUGUGACCUAUUUUCAACAUGGCGGGUACUAGGAUUAUCACCGGAGCAACUGUGGAGCAAAGCACAUCGUCUUCACAGUGUUAAAACAUAAUACUUUCUUAAAUUUAUGAAGAACACGCACUAGAGAUGUUUGGGUACAUCUCAGAAGGAUUGGUGUGCACCAGAAUAUAACAAGAAAUGACCAUAGCAGCUGGUCGUCCUUAGAAUUUGCAUUUUUGGUUGAACCACUUUAGACUGUUGUCAGGCUUGGGUUCCUCAAUAUAUCCAUCUCAUCGAUUUAGCUCUGGAUGUUUGUUGUAAGGGUUUUGUUACACGUGUUAUCAUAACACAAACAGUUAAGGACUAUACUGAGCUUGAAGACAGCUUCAUUGGAAAUUUCUUACCCAGAAUCAAAGAUUUUACAUUCUAGGCCUGUAUGUGAACCUUGACCUGGACAAUCUUACAGACAAUAAUAGAAAAGUCACCUGAAAUUGCACAGGCAAAUUCAUCAGAUUCAGAUGUGAGAACCAACUUUGUAAUGCCUGGAACACUUCCAUGGAGAAGAAAAAAGCCUGUCCUGCCAUCUUCAGGUAGACGCAGUAGUGGAUAUCCUGGCAAACCUCUAUUGGACUUAGAGCCACCUUGGGUCAAUCCCCCAUAACAAAUGUGCAUCUUAGGAUUGGCAAUCUCAAUCAGUUUUGUAGGAAAGGAGGAUUAGCGCCAUUGAAUUGACAAAUAUUGACAAUUGACAGUUCAGUCACACUAAACUAUAGUGGCAUGUUGCUUCAAGUUACCACACUUAUUCUAAGAUUGCUGAAUUAACAUUACUGUAGGAGACCCUGGAUCUUUCAACCAGAAGAAGAAACUUGGGGAUCAAUCAGUUAUAAGAUUAAAAUCUGUGGAACACUACCCAUCACUGUUGUGUUCAGUUUAUGGAAAAGAUGACCUUGAUAUUGGAACCUUGGAGAUUCAUAACUUGAUUUCACUCCUGUAAAAAGUAACUGCUUUGUUCUUUUACUGUCCAAUUGAUAAUAUGAAAAUAAAGUACUCCUCCAGUCAUUGUAUGUUGCUGACUCUGUUUUAAUUUUUUUUAUAGAAAAAGAAUAUAGAUAUCAAGAUAUGACAUGUAUUUACAAAGCCUAUGAAUCAUUUGAAAGGAAAAAGAAUGGUUGAAAAAUGCAAUAUAAAUCAUUUCUAGUGGAUUAAUUAGUGUUGCACUUGAGAAAACUGAUAAAAUGAGACAGUCAUUCCCUUUUACCUUUAGAAAAAUCAUUUGUAAUUUUUUUUCUCUAUUGCUCCCUAAAAAUAAGGUAUAUACACAAUGCUGAUGACACUGGAUAUGCACAGUAAUAACUUAUUAAAUGGGGU
Long non-coding RNA from Lingula anatina, 1399 nucleotides. The record is from RefSeq and is a predicted model, not a curated record. Lineage: Eukaryota; Metazoa; Brachiopoda; Lingulata; Lingulida; Lingulidae.